GCCACAACAGUUCGAGGACG
RNAcentral lists this microRNA (20 nucleotides) under Schistosoma japonicum. RNAcentral's name for it is "sja-miR-3489". Lineage: Eukaryota; Metazoa; Platyhelminthes; Trematoda; Strigeidida; Schistosomatidae. The record is from miRBase by way of RNAcentral.